Long non-coding RNA from Rosa rugosa (rugosa rose), 3158 nucleotides. RefSeq lists it as uncharacterized. The transcript is spliced from 2 exons. The record is from RefSeq and is a predicted model, not a curated record. NCBI's taxonomy places the organism in Eukaryota, Viridiplantae, Streptophyta, Magnoliopsida, Rosales, Rosaceae.
GACUUUGGAACUUACUUUUCUUUCUUUUCUGAGUUUUCUCUCUCUUCCCCUCGUCUUCCUCUGGGGCUCUCUCUCCCUCACACCUUUUAUUCCUCCCAUUUUCUUUUCUUUCUUAUCUCUCUCUCAAGUCUCACCCUCUGUCUUCAUCCCUCUCUGGCUCUUUCUCCCUCACCAUUUAUUGAGUUUAUUCAGCCACUCUUUUUCACAGGCUCAACAUUCUAGCCAUCACCAACACACCACUGCACCUCCGGCAUCCUCGGCUCACCACCAUCUUCAGUCGACCUCGAUGGCACCACAAUCGUCGCACCACGGCACCACCCACAAGGAACGCCUCCCAGAUCCGUUGCCACUUGCCAUCAAUUUUAAUUAUCUUUUUUCAGAUCUGAGUUUUGUCAAUUUGUGCAUGUUCUAUGGAAGAAAUGGUAUCUGCAGAAAAUAAGCGGAGUUGCGGAAAUCGAGAGAAAAUUGUGCGAAAUAGAAGCAAAUUGGAGUUUCCUACAAAAGGACGAAAUAGGCAAUGCGGGUCAAUACCAUUAAAGGAGCGGAAUCUAAUUGCCUCUGAUAGUAUAUGCGGAAGUGCAUAGAGAAGAGAAAAGAAAUGAGAAGAGAAAAGAAAAGAAAAGAAAAAUAAUAAUACAUCUUAAUUAAUUAAGUUAAUUAAUCAAUUGAUUAGUUACUUAAUUAAUCAAGUUAUGUGGUAGUUAGUCAUUCAUGCACGUGCAGCAUGCAUCUUAAUUAUGCUGACCUUAAUUAGGCAAGCUUUAAUUUCUUUUUCUUUACGUGGCAACCAUCAGAUGACCCAUUUCUUUCUCUUCCUACAUGGACCAGCCACCAAGUUACACCUCAUCAUCUCCUCCUUUUCUUCUUUGCCGAGACCACACAUAACAGAUCACCUCAAUUAAUCAUCCAACCCUCUAUCUCACGAAACGAAUGGCCACAAACCCACUAUAUAUAUUGAAGCACCCUCAUUCUGUUGGAGGAGAACCCCAGACGGGCAGCGCCGCACAACCAAAGGGGCAGCCCUUAGGGCUGUUCUCUCCUAAUCUCUCCCAAUUUCUUCCAUUUCCUUUUUCUUUUCUCAUAUCCUCACCAACAAAUCUUCAUCAAUUUGUCAAGGAGCAUCAAGAUUUGAACUUGGGUAAAAAUGAGAAGCCAUAAAUCAAGGCUUGUUAUAUUUGCUCCAUAAUAGCAAUUGUGACUUGUCCUUGUAACUUCUCAUUUCUCUUCACCUUACUCUCUUUAAUUUGAUGAAUAUUGUUGUUGAUUAGUUGAUGGGUAGUGAGUAGUUUAUUUAGGAAACUAGGGUUUGAACCCUAGCAUGAAUUUAAUGUAAUAAAUAUGUUUUGAUUUAAUGGUUUUCAAUUUCGUGUUUAGCAUAUGUUCUAUUCCAUAAUAUUUGGCUUAGAUGCAUGCUUAGGAGCUUGAUUAACUCUUGAAUGUGUAGAUGAGCAUGUCUAGAACAAGUUAGGGGACCUAAUCACUUCUCUAAUUUAUGGCUAGGACACUUGUUUAGAACAUGGUUAGUUACAAUACCAAUUCCGAUUGCCGUAUUGGUUAGCUUGGGAACCUUGAUUCUAGGACUCUUCGCCUUUUGGUGCAACUAGAGGCCCUAAUAAGCUCUAGAUUGUCCCAAUUGAGUUUCUACGGCCCUUGAUCCGGAGUAGGAAUACCCUAUAAGGAAUCUAAUGACCCAUGAGCCUUGAAAAGCCUUGGGUACGGUUCUUGAUGCUAUCAUGAAUUGAAUCACCAUUGUCGGAAUAUAUUUGUGCAUUGAAUUUGGCUAGGAGGAUACCCUAGUGACCUAAUUUCCAUUUCUUAUUUUUCUUUUCUUUAUUUAAUUUAGUUGUUAGCUAAAGCUUUCAUUUAAAUUCUUGCAAUUUAGUUAUUAGAAAAUUACAAUCACAAUUUUGAAUGACAAUUUCUCACUCAUUUGUACAUAUCCACCACUAGGCUCUUAGUUUUGAUUAGGCUUUGGUGAAAAUCAAAGCCGAGCAUUGCUAAGCCUUGGUGCCUUAGAAUAACAUUUUUAUUUAUUUUCUUUUUCUUUUUCUUUUGUUUGCUUAGUGACUUUAGUUCCGACUAUCCAAGGAUUGUGGGUUAGCCACUAAUCCCCGUGGUACGAUAAUUUUGGGCUUAAUACUUCCCUAUCUUGACAAUGAUAUGUACGCUUGCGUAAAUGUGUAUUCAAGUCAAUGGCGCCGUUGCCGGGGAUUAGGAUUUAAUAGCCUUAAUCCCUUGGUAAAUCGGUUCUUUAGGUCACUUUAGCAUAUUUUUAUUUCUUUGUUAUUAAAAAAAAAAUAGUCGUUGGUCUAAAUAGUUUAUUAUAUUUUGUGUGCUUAUUUUUCUAUUUUCUUUGUAAUUUUUGGUUACUAAUCUCACUUGUGGAAACUCAUAGGCAUAUAUUUUUCUCACAUUGAGCUAUGGAUCGUUGGAGCUAUGGAUGGGAUGACUUGAGGGGAUAUGAGCAAGAAUGUUUCUAUGGUGGAGGUCAUCAUGAGUGGAAUUCUCAUGCGGUGGGUUCUAUGUCUUCUUGCAAUGAAACUUGUGCUCUGUGUAAUUCUCCGUGGCAUUCACCUUUUGAGUGCUCUUUGAGAUUUGAGUGGCCGGAUUUUAUGCAAGAGUGUGAGUACAAGAUGGGCAUGUAUCAAGAGACAUUUGUACCUGAUGCAUAUCCACAAGAUGAAGCUUAUGAGCCUAGGAAGGAAUUCGUUGAAGGACUACUAGCUCAAUUGCAAGCCUCCUGAGAUCUAUUACAAGCCUCUCAAACUAGAAUUUCACAAGAGACCGUGGUUCCCGAAGCAUAUCCUCAUGAGCAAGUGUAUGAGUCUAGGAGGCCUUCUCUUGAAGAAUUGCUAGCGUCUCAAGCUCGAUUGCAAGCUUCUCAAGAAAUGCUUAUACAUUCCAAUGAGCAACUUGAAGCAAGUUUUGACUCGAGCACAGAAGGAUAAACUCAUCAAAACCGCCAAGCAAUAUGUGUGGGGUGACCCAUACUGAUGAAAGUAUUGUGCUGAUCAAUUGGUAAGAAGGUGCCCUCAUGAUUCUAAAUUUCAUUCUAUUCUCACCUUUUGUCAUUCCUAUGCAUGUGCUGGACAUUUUGGAUCAAAGAGAACAGCUCUUAAGGUCCUUGAGAGUGGAUUUUAUUGGCCUACCUUGUUCAA